CUUUUUUUUUUUUUUUUUUUUUUUUUUUUUUUUUUUUUUUUUUUUC
This 46-nucleotide non-coding RNA is filed under the name Alexandrium minutum. The record is from RNAcentral. Lineage: Eukaryota; Dinophyceae; Gonyaulacales; Pyrocystaceae.